This 838-nucleotide ribosomal RNA is filed under the name uncultured bacterium. RNAcentral's name for it is "bacterial SSU rRNA". It matches the Rfam family "Bacterial small subunit ribosomal RNA", at positions 48 to 864 of the family's 1533-position model. The record is from RNAcentral.
CUAACACAUGCAAGUCGCACGAGAAAGGGCUUCCGCCCCGGUACAGUGGCGCACGGGUGAGUAACACGUGGGCAACCUUCCCGAACGUGGUGGAUAACCUUCCGAAAGGAGGGCUAAUACAGCAUAAGACCACGGCACUCCGGUGCUGGGGUUAAAGCCGGCUGAGGUACACAAGCUGGCGCGUUCGGAUGGGCCCGCGGCCCAUCACCUAGUUGGCGAGGUAACGGCUCACCAAGGCGAUGACAGGUAGCUGGUCUGAGAGGAUGGCCAGCCACACUGGAACUGAGACACGGUCCAGACUCCUACGGGAGGCAGCAGUGGGGAAUCUUGCGCAAUGGACGAAAGUCUGACGCAGUGACGCCGCGUGGGCGAUGAAGGCCUUUGGGUUGUAAAGCCCUGUGGGGCGGGAAGAACACUUUCCGGGUGAACAAUCCGGGGAGCUGACGGUACCGCCUUAGCAAGCAUCGGCUAACUCUGUGCCAGCAGCCGCGGUAAGACAGAGGAUGCAAACGUUGCUCGGAAUUACUGGGCGUAAAGCGCGUGUAGGCGGUUCCGCGAGUCGGGUGUGAAAGCCCGGGGCUCAACCCCGGAAGGGCACUCGAUACUACGGAGCUGGAGUACUGAAGAGGAGACCGGAAUUCCCGGUGUAGAGGUGAAAUUUGUAGAUAUCGGGAGGGACACCAGUGGUGAAGGCGGCUCUCUGGGCAGAUACUGACGUUGAGACGCGAAAGCGUGGGGAGCAAACAGGAUUAGAUACCCUGGUAGUCCUUGCUGUAAACGAUGAGAAUCUGGGUGUUGCGGGUAUUGACCCCCGCGGUGCCGAAGCCAACGCGUUAAG